AGAGUUUGAUCAUGGCUCAGGAUGAACGCUAGCUACAGGCUUAACACAUGCAAGUCGAGGGGAAACGACAUCGAAAGCUUGCUUUUGAUGGGCGUCGACCGGCGCACGGGUGAGUAACGCGUAUCCAACCUGCCCACCACUUGGGGAUAACCUUGCGAAAGUAAGACUAAUACCCAAUGACGUCUCUAGAAGACAUCUGAAAGAGAUUAAAGAUUUAUCGGUGAUGGAUGGGGAUGCGUCUGAUUAGCUUGUUGGCGGGGUAACGGCCCACAAGGCGACGAUCAGGUAGGGGUUCUGGAGGAGGAACGGUCCCCCANAUUGGAACUGAGACACGGUCCAAACUCCGUACGGGAGGCA
RNAcentral lists this ribosomal RNA (357 nucleotides) under uncultured bacterium. Its description in RNAcentral is "bacterial SSU rRNA". It matches the Rfam family "Bacterial small subunit ribosomal RNA", at positions 8 to 350 of the family's 1533-position model. The record is from RNAcentral.